Molecule: unclassified non-coding RNA, 300 nt
Filed under: uncultured Helotiales
Lineage: Eukaryota; Fungi; Ascomycota; Leotiomycetes; Helotiales
Description: sequence contains 5.8S rRNA gene, ITS2
Rfam family: 5.8S ribosomal RNA (bases 1-93)
Source: RNAcentral
GUCAGAUGUGUAUAAGGUACAGGUGAGUCAUCGAAUCUUUGAACGCACAUUGCGCCCUGUGGUAUUCCGCAGGGCAUGCCUGUUCGAGCGUCAGUACAACACUCAAGCUCAGCUUGGUCUUGAGCCUAGCCGGUCACGGUGGGCUUUAAAAUUAGUGGCGGUGCCGCCUGGCUCUAAGCGUAGUAAUACUCCUCGCUAUUGAGUCCUGGUGGACGCUGGCCAGCCAACCCCAACUUUCUAAGUUUGACCUCGGAUCAGGUAGGGAUACCCGCUGAACUUAAGCAUAUCAAUAAGCGGAGG